This is a long non-coding RNA of Hippocampus comes (tiger tail seahorse), 102 nucleotides long. RefSeq lists it as uncharacterized. The transcript has 3 exons. The record is from RefSeq and is a predicted model, not a curated record. Lineage: Eukaryota; Metazoa; Chordata; Actinopteri; Syngnathiformes; Syngnathidae.
AAAGAUGUGUUGAUGUCCAAAAAGAUUUUAUGGCCAGACUUUAGCUCAUGGAGCACUGUCCAUAAAUAUCAAAGAUAUUUUCUAUAAACAUGGGGGGCUUAC